This 491-nucleotide ribosomal RNA is filed under the name uncultured bacterium. RNAcentral's name for it is "partial 16S ribosomal RNA". It matches the Rfam family "Bacterial small subunit ribosomal RNA", at positions 29 to 506 of the family's 1533-position model. The record is from RNAcentral.
AGUGAACGCUGGCGGUAGGCCUAACACAUGCAAGUCGAACGGCAGCACAGUAAGAGCUUGCUCUUACGGGUGGCGAGUGGCGGACGGGUGAGGAAUACAUCGGAAUCUACUUUUUCGUGGGGGAUAACGUAGGGAAACUUACGCUAAUACCGCAUACGACCUACGGGUGAAAGCAGGGGAUCUUCGGACCUUGCGCGAUUGAAUGAGCCGAUGUCGGAUUAGCUAGUUGGCGGGGUAAAGGCCCACCAAGGCGACGAUCCGUAGCUGGUCUGAGAGGAUGAUCGGCCACACUGGAACUGAGACACGGUCCAGACUCCUACGGGAGGCAGCAGUGGGGAAUAUUGGACAAUGGGCGCAAGCCUGAUCCAGCCAUACCACGUGGGUGAAGAAGGCCUUCGGGUUGUAAAGCCCUUUUGUUGGGAAAGAAAAGCAGCAGGUUAAUACCCCGCUGUUCUGACGGUACCCAAAGAAUAAGCACCGGCUAACUUCGU